This 86-nucleotide transfer RNA is filed under the name Amaricoccus sp. RNAcentral describes it as "tRNA-Leu". It matches the Rfam family "tRNA". From Rfam's summary of the family: Transfer RNA (tRNA) molecules are approximately 80 nucleotides in length. Their secondary structure includes four short double-helical elements and three loops (D, anti-codon, and T loops). Lineage: Bacteria; Pseudomonadati; Pseudomonadota; Alphaproteobacteria; Rhodobacterales; Paracoccaceae. The record is from RNAcentral. RNAcentral also lists the same sequence under 3 other names.
GCCCAGGUGGCGGAAUGGUAGACGCGCUGGCUUCAGGUGCCAGUGACUGAAAGGUCGUGGAGGUUCGAGUCCUCUCCUGGGCACCA